This 402-nucleotide ribosomal RNA is filed under the name uncultured Wolbachia sp. RNAcentral's name for it is "bacterial SSU rRNA". It matches the Rfam family "Bacterial small subunit ribosomal RNA", at positions 355 to 774 of the family's 1533-position model. Lineage: Bacteria; Pseudomonadati; Pseudomonadota; Alphaproteobacteria; Rickettsiales; Anaplasmataceae. The record is from RNAcentral.
UGGGGAAUAUUGGACAAUGGGCGAAAGCCUGAUCCAGCCAUGCCGCAUGAGUGAAGAAGGCCUUUGGGUUGUAAAGCUCUUUUAGUGAGGAAGAUAAUGACGGUACUCACAGAAGAAGUCCUGGCUAACUCCGUGCCAGCAGCCGCGGUAAUACGGAGAGGGCUAGCGUUAUUCGGAAUUAUUGGGCGUAAAGGGCGCGUAGGCGGAUUAGUAAGUUAAAAGUGAAGUCCCAAGGCUCAACCUUGGAAUUGCUUUUAAAACUGCUAAUCUAGAGAUUGAAAGAGGAUAGAGGAAUUCCUAGUGUAGAGGUGAAAUUCGUAAAUAUUAGGAGGAACACCAGUGGCGAAGGCGUCUAUCUGGUUCAAAUCUGACGCUGAGGCGCGAAGGCGUGGGGAGCAAACA